This 463-nucleotide ribosomal RNA is filed under the name Vreelandella stevensii. RNAcentral describes it as "partial 16S ribosomal RNA". It matches the Rfam family "Bacterial small subunit ribosomal RNA", at positions 339 to 795 of the family's 1533-position model. Lineage: Bacteria; Pseudomonadati; Pseudomonadota; Gammaproteobacteria; Oceanospirillales; Halomonadaceae. The record is from RNAcentral.
CUACGGGGGCUGCAGUGGGGAAUAUUGGACAAUGGGCGAAAGCCUGAUCCAGCCAUGCCGCGUGUGUGAAGAAGGCCUUCGGGUUGUAAAGCACUUUCAGUGGGGAAGAAAGCCUUGGGGCUAAUACCCUCGAGGAAGGACAUCACCCACAGAAGAAGCACCGGCUAACUCCGUGCCAGCAGCCGCGGUAAUACGGAGGGUGCGAGCGUUAAUCGGAAUUACUGGGCGUAAAGCGCGCGUAGGCGGUCUGAUAAGCCGGUUGUGAAAGCCCCGGGCUCAACCUGGGAACGGCAUCCGGAACUGUCAGGCUAGAGUGCAGGAGAGGAAGGUAGAAUUCCCGGUGUAGCGGUGAAAUGCGUAGAGAUCGGGAGGAAUACCAGUGGCGAAGGCGGCCUUCUGGACUGACACUGACGCUGAGGUGCGAAAGCGUGGGUAGCAAACAGGAUUAGAUACCCGGGUAGUC